RNAcentral lists this long non-coding RNA (446 nucleotides) under Astyanax mexicanus (Mexican tetra). RNAcentral's name for it is "lncRNA (ENSAMXG00005024241.1)". Lineage: Eukaryota; Metazoa; Chordata; Actinopteri; Characiformes; Acestrorhamphidae. The record is from RNAcentral.
GUCCUGAUGAGAACCAGUUUCAUCAUUGUGUUUUCAAUGGUAAUUCGGACUGCACUUAAGGAUAGUUUAAAUGUUUAUAGAUCUUUGGGAUAUUUUCUUUACUUAGUUGAGUAGUUCUUGCUAUAAUAUAGAUUGGAACAUUACUCAAGUAUGGCUAUUCACUGUAUACCAACUUUACCUCUAUACAACUUUACUACUGAUGCUCUCAAACACAUUAAAAGGGCAAGAAAUUCAAGAAAUUAACUCUAAAUGCUCUUCUAAGGAACACAAUUCUAAUUCCUGUGGGAUCCGGAUUUGGCACCAAUGAAGACCCAGCCUCCAACACUGAGGCCAAACAGCCUUUGGAGAAUGACUACACACUGAUGGUCUUCAGCCCUGUUCUGUAUUGCAUGGUAGUUAUAUCACUCGUUUGUCCUCUUCAGUCCUUCAACCCAGUGGACGUUUCA